RNAcentral lists this long non-coding RNA (2096 nucleotides) under Anneissia japonica. RNAcentral describes it as "uncharacterized LOC117106284". The record is from RNAcentral. Lineage: Eukaryota; Metazoa; Echinodermata; Crinoidea; Comatulida; Comatulidae.
AGCAGAUGCAGACAAAAGAUGACGGGCUGAAAGACCUUUUGUUACGGGAACAACCCCAAGACCAGUAAACCCGACUAUGAGAGCUCCAUUCCCUUCUCAAAUGUGUUAUAGGUCAAAGAGUUGGACACAUGGCCAAAAUCUUCAGGCAGGACACAGGCAAAUAGUGCAGGCUUAUCUUAUGCCAAGACUUGUCAACAUUGUCAACCGAAAUCUACUCUCCUGGAAGAAGGUAGUAACGAAGUUCCCGAAGUGGAUAAAUAUGAAGGUCUUGCAUGGUUGUAAGGGUAGCGUUAUUUAAGACUGCUGCAUCGAUGAAGAGGUUAGUCAGAUUGUGUCUUGGAUUUGGUCGGCUCGAAUGUGUGUAGUAUGAAAAUUAUCAGAAUUAUCACCUGUCCAAUGAAAAACUUUUGCAGCUUCAUCCUCUUCUAGCAAAAGAAAUCAAACAGAUGUUCAUAUUAGCAAUGAUCUUGAUUAGUCUUGCAGAGCAUAUGUAAAACAACUGUUUAAAAAAAGGAUUUACCGGGGGAAAACUACAUUAGGACAUAUGAAAUCAACCUGAAAACCGAUGAUCCGUACUAAACCGUAUCCACUACCUCACGCACUCAGAGAUACAGUAAAAGACGAAGUGACUAUGAUGUUGAAUAUGAGAGUAAACGAACCUUUUUGUGCCCUGUAUGCAUCCCCUAGUAUAGUUUUGGUUUAAAAGCCUGAUGGAUCUAAUAGAUUCUGUGUCGAUUUCCGAAAAAUUAACCAAGGUACAAUAUUUGAUGCCGAACCAAUACCAGAUCAGGAGGAAUUGUUCAGGAAAUUGCCAAAGAUUUACAAAAAUAGAUCUCAGUAAAGAUUACUGGCAGGUUCCUAUUCACACUGCUUCUUAGGAACAGCAUAAAGUAGUACUAAAAGAAUUGUUUCGACGAUUACGAGUGGCAAAAAUGACAGCACAUCCCAACAAGUGUUUUAUGGUAUAAAACAAUCAAAUUUCUAGGGCAUGUUUUGAAGGAAAGGGCAAGCUUCAACCUCGACCAGAGAAAAUACAAAUUAUCCUGAAUGCAAAACGGCCGGAAACGAAAAAGCAACUCGUAUAUUUCCUGGGAAUGACCAAUAAUUAUAGAAGGUUCAUUCCUAAUUACUCUGUAAUUGUUUUACCUUUGACUGACAAAAUCUAAAAACAAAGAACUAAACAAAAUAUGUUGGCAGGUAAGUCAAGAGAAUGCUUUUAUCAUGCUCAAGGCUAAGUUAACAUUAACAAGUUCUCGUAUUCUUCGUCUCCCAGACUUUAGUAAAAUCAUUUGUUUUUAAGGACAGCCAGCGAAGGCGGAAUUGGAGUCGUUCUACUUAAGAAUUACGGAACUAAAAAGUUUCCUGUUGCCUACGCCAGCAUGAAGUUGCUGCUUCGAGAGAAGACCUACUCUGUUAUGGAAAAGAGUGUCUUUUUCAAUAACAGCAGGACAGACAAAUCUUUACUGCAAGACAUUGUAUCAAAGAAUCAAUGGCACUAUGCAGCAACAGAGCAUGACCAAUGUUACAAGACAGGAAAAGUACACUGAAUUUUAGUUGGAACAUCUUGCAUAAUUCGAAAGAGUAAUCGCGGUGAAACAACACAAUGAUUUGUAUCUUAACAUGUUACUGGAUCAAGACAACUUGUGUCAUUCUGAAAUAUUGACUAUAUUAUUAUUAUACAGAAGAUAUGAACUAGCGAAUUGCAACAAGACGAGGAAGAGUACCCAGAACUGCUAUAAUUCAUUAUUCUAAUAUAUGCAGUGUAAAGCAUUUUAACUUUUAGUUAAUUUAAUUGGUGAUGCCUAAUAGUUUGCAAGAUAAUUAGAGAAGAAAAAAACACAACAUUUUACUGAAUAUUGAGACAGCUUAAUCACGGUGAAAGAAAACAUGCGAUUGUAUUUUUCUCAGAAUAUCGAGGAAUUUAAGAAAUCAUUUUUAAUGACAAGUUUAUUGCAGAAUCAAGACAGCAUGCAUCAUUGUAAAAUAUUAAACCAAGAGAAACAAUUUCCUAUAAUUAAUUUUUUGUAUAUUUAUAUAAAUUCAUAUUAUAUCAAUUCAUAUUAUGAUUUUGGUUGUGAAGAUUUUAUAAUAAAAAA